CAGCCAGUACUCUUAAGCAUUGACCUAUCUCUCCAGCCCCCUGAGGUGUCUCUCUCUCUUUCUCUCUCUCUUUUUUUUUUGGUUUUUCAAGACAGGGUUUCUCUGUGUAGUCCUGGUUGUCCUUGAACUCGCUCUGUAGACCAGGCUGGCCUCGAACUCAAAAAUCUGCCUGCCUCUGCCUCCCAAAUGCUGGGAUUAAAGGCGUGCGCCACCACGCCCGGCCCUGAGGUGUCUCUUAAUUAAACAAUUGAUGCUCGUCCUCAUAGAUGAUAAUUUGCUCUGGACAUUCAUAAAUGGAACAGCUUUUGCCACUGCUGUGACUUUUUGCAGGGAUUGUUCCACACAGCUCAAUUGGGCUUCUAGACAAAGGGCUUCUGUGCUCUCUCCUCUGAUCCCAGCCCUGGCAGGACUCUGGGGUCCUUGGCCACACAGGCGUGAUGUUCUUGCAACUCUUUGUCUCUGAAUUAAUGUGGGUAUUGAAGGGGUCUUGGCCCCCAUGUGAGAUAACAGAGUCUGUUAUCUAUCGUGCCUCCCAGGAAUCUUUUUAAUAAAUUUAGAUGCACUUUGUCUUGCAGUAUGUUAGUCUGAAAUAUAUCCACAGGGAAUUGACACGUGGAUGUCAUAGACAUUCAUCUGGAGAUGCAGGAACCUCUGUCCCAGAGUGAUGGCUGCAUUAUCUGCAUGAAUAAACCUCUCAAGGAUCCACGUGUUCUGGCCAAGAUCAUCCAUGAGCCAUCUGGAUCCACUAGAAGCAGAGAGCAAAAUGCUUCUGUCUCCAUUCUCUCUUCCCAGGUCUGAGUUACAGAACUCUAGUCAUGCUACACCAAAGAUGCCAAAAUUUGAUACUCAGGGGCUCUGUUUAAAAGUCACACCCAACCUCUGGGAUGCAAGAUGCCAUGAACUUGUGUCGGAACAGGUGUGGUUUAGCCCUGAUUGGCAGUUGGUUCUUGUGUAGACCUUCCUACAACUAAGGAAAAAGCCCAGCAGCACCCUUACCAGGUGGGUGGACCAAACCUCUGUGAUCUGCUCCUGAGUCCCCAUUCUUAAACUGUAGCCUAUCUAAGGGUGUCUGUCACAGUCCUUGGCUGCUCAGAAUGAGAGCAGUGAAGGUGAGUCUUUGUUUCAUAGAGUCUAUAAAUGUGUCUCUUUUUGUUGUUGCUGUUGCUGUCUGUUUGCUAGUUUGUUUUUUUGAGACAGAGUUGCUUCCUAGUCCAGGCUGCCCUCAAACUCUUGAUACUCUUACCGCUGUCUUCCAAAUGCUGACACCACCAGCAUGUACCCCCAAGGCUAGCCUGUUCAUGAUUGUCUCUUGAUGAGAUGGUGAAGACAAAGACUAUGAUGACGAUGACAAGGUUGAGAGAAGGUUUGCACACACAGGCUCAGGCUGUAGCUCAGUA
Molecule: long non-coding RNA, 1397 nt
Filed under: Mus spicilegus (steppe mouse)
Lineage: Eukaryota; Metazoa; Chordata; Mammalia; Rodentia; Muridae
Description: lncRNA (ENSMSIG00000022840.1)
Source: RNAcentral